CAAUAGCGUAUAUUAAAGUUGUUGCAGUUAAAAAGCUCGUAGUUGAAUUUUUGCUUGCCGCCGAUGUCGGAACUUCCGUACGUUCGGCGGCGUGCAUCCUUGGGUGGAACCUGUGUGGCAUUAGGUUGUCGUGCAGGGGAUGCUCAUCGUUUACUGUGAAAAAAUUAGAGUGUUCAAAGCAGGCUUACGCCGUUGAAUAUAUUAGCAUGGAAUAAUAAGAUAGGACCUUGGUACUAUUUUGUUGGUUUGCGCACCGAGGUAAUGAUUAACAGGGACAGUUGGGGGUAUUCGUAUUCCAUUGUCAGAGGUGAAAUUCUUGGAUUUCUGGAAGACGAACUACUGCGAAAGCAUUUACCAAGGAUGGUUUCAUUAA
RNAcentral lists this ribosomal RNA (373 nucleotides) under uncultured eukaryote. RNAcentral describes it as "partial 18S ribosomal RNA". It matches the Rfam family "Eukaryotic small subunit ribosomal RNA", at positions 592 to 976 of the family's 1831-position model. The record is from RNAcentral.